Molecule: long non-coding RNA, 864 nt
Filed under: Citrus sinensis (sweet orange)
Lineage: Eukaryota; Viridiplantae; Streptophyta; Magnoliopsida; Sapindales; Rutaceae
Description: long non-coding RNA (CSIN_LNC005119)
Source: RNAcentral
UUUCAAUCUCUUUAGCCGAAUUUACCUAUUAUAUUUUUAUCAUAUAAACGUUAUGCAAAAUGUUUAUGUUAAUGUAUGGCGAAAAUUGAAAAAUGGAAAAUAAAAAUAUUUGUGCUGCUUUCACUAUUUAUCUAUGUUAAUCUCUUUGAUAAAAUGAAGUGGAUGUCAUUAUUUCCAUGCAUCAGUAAUUACAAUCCAUAUUAUGCUCUUGCUAGUCUGUGCUCCAUUUGAACAUCGCAACGAACUUAUUUACUUACAUAUAUUUUGUGCUUUCUGGUUGGAAAUUGGAAGUUUUAACCAAUUUCUGAUCAGAAACAGCCCUUUUGAGUGCUAUGGCAGAAACCGCAGACGCGGCCUAACCUUCAUUUUUAAUUUGUAUCAAUUGGUAGUUUUUUAUCAUAUAAACGUUAUGCAAAACGUUUAUGUUAAUGUAUGGUGAAAAUUGAAAAAUGGAAAAUAAAAAUAUUUGUACUGCUUUCACUAUUUAUCUAUGUUAAUCUCUUUGAUAAAAUGAAGUGGAUGUCAUUAUUUCCAUGCAUCAGUAAUUACAAUCCAUAUUGUGCUCUUGCUAGUCUGUGCUCCAUUUGAACAUCGCAACGAACUUAUUUACUUACAUAUUUUUUGUGCUUUCUGGUUGGAAAUUGGAAGUUUUAACCAAUUUCUGAUCAGAAACAGCCCUUUUGAGUGCUAUGGCAGAAACCGCAGACGUGACCUAACCUUCAUUUUUAAUUUGUAUCAAUUGGUAGUUUUUUAUAACUCUCUCUUUUCCCCUCUAUCAAUAAUGAAUGGUAUUCGCUAGAGAAACCGUAAGGGGACUAAUCAUUGUGAAAAGCACUAGGUGAUAACUAGCAGUUUCAAUUUGAC